GGGUCUAGAUAUAGAAUUGAGGCCCAUCAUCAGUGACUCUAAAUCCACCCAUCUCCUUUCCUCAGGUGGGGUGUGUCAUAAAGCUAUUUGUGUUAGUUGUGUCACCAAAUAAUAAAAGUGAAGAUGGGGGAGCCCUAGGCCUCUUGCUGUCUUGGAUCUGUACAAAAUAUUAUGGGCUACCCUGUGUCGUUUAUUCUGCCAGACAAAGCUGUCGAUGGCGGUCUGUAAAG
This is a non-coding RNA of Pelobates cultripes (western spadefoot toad), 230 nucleotides long. The record is from the annotation of a GenBank genome assembly. NCBI's taxonomy places the organism in Eukaryota, Metazoa, Chordata, Amphibia, Anura, Pelobatidae.